RNAcentral lists this long non-coding RNA (442 nucleotides) under Manihot esculenta (cassava). Its description in RNAcentral is "long non-coding RNA (MESC_LNC012002)". The record is from RNAcentral. Lineage: Eukaryota; Viridiplantae; Streptophyta; Magnoliopsida; Malpighiales; Euphorbiaceae.
GUUAGGGGAGAGGGGUGAGCUACAAAGCCCAGUGAGCAGAAUAGUAUAAAACAAUAUAUUAAAAUUUCAUGCUUUCAUGGAAUGCAACACAUCACAACAAAUCACAUCUCGGAUGGUUUUGUCACCUAUAGUCCUCUACAUAGGUCCAACUGUGCCGGGACGUAGAAUGGGUCAACCGGUCUUUCCCUUAUCAUAACAUAUCAUAUGGACCAACUGUGCCAGGGACGUAGAAUGGGUACAACCUGGACUUUCUCUUACAUCGUGCCAGGGACGUAGAAUGGGUACAACCUGGACUUCCAAGCCAUAACAUGCCAUAACAUCAAUCAUAUCAUAUGAGGACUAAAGGAUCAUCCAAUAACCAAUCCACAUCAACAUAAACAUCAUAAAUGCAAUGCAACAUAUUCGUGAAUACUAAUGCAAGCAACCUAUUAUAUCUCAUGGC